AGAGCGAACGCUGGCGGCAUGCUUAACACAUGCAAGUCUCACGGGCAGCAAUGUCAGUGGCGGACGGGUGAGUAACGCGUAGGUAUCUAUCCAUGGGUGGGGGAUAACGUCGGGAAACUGACGCUAAUACCGCAUGACACCUGAGGGUCAAAGGCGCGAGUCGCCUGUGGAGGAGCCUGCGUACGAUUAGCUAGUUGGUGGGGUAACUGCCUACCAAGGCGACGAUCGUUAGCUGGUCUGAGAGGAUGAUCAGCCACACUGGGACUGAGACACGGCCCAGACUCCUACGGGAGGCAGCAGUGGGGAAUAUUGGACAAUGGGCGAAAGCCUGAUCCAGCAAUGCCGCGUGUGUGAAGAAGGUCUUCGGAUUGUAAAGCACUUUCGGCGGGGACGAUGAUGACGGUACCCGCAGAAGAAGCCCCGGCUAACUUCGCGCCAGCAGCCGCGGUAA
RNAcentral lists this ribosomal RNA (451 nucleotides) under uncultured bacterium. RNAcentral's name for it is "SSU rRNA". It matches the Rfam family "Bacterial small subunit ribosomal RNA", at positions 26 to 523 of the family's 1533-position model. The record is from RNAcentral.